Molecule: ribosomal RNA, 481 nt
Filed under: uncultured bacterium
Lineage: Bacteria
Description: partial 16S ribosomal RNA
Rfam family: Bacterial small subunit ribosomal RNA
Source: RNAcentral
AUUGAACGCUGGCGGCAUGCCUUACACAUGCAAGUCGAACGGUAACGGGCCUUCGGGUGUCGACGAGUGGCGGACGGGUGAGUACUACAUCGGAACGUGCCCGAUCGUGGGGAUAAGGAGGCGAACGCUUUGCUAAUAUCGCACCCGCACUACGGAUGGACGCAGGGGCCGGUAAGGCCUUGCGCGGACGGAGUGGCCGAUGGCCGUUUAGGUAGUUGGCGGGGUAAAAGCUUACCAAGCCGACGAUCGGUAGCUGGUGUGAGAGGAUGAUCAGCCACACUGGGACUGAGACACGGCCCAGACUCCUACGGGAGGCAGCAGUGGGGAAUGUUGGACAAUGGGCGCAAGCCUGAUCCAGCCAUGCCGCGUGCAGGAUGAAGGCCUUCGGGUUGUAAACUGCUUUUGUACGGAACGAAAAGCCUUCUUUUAAUACAGGAGGGUCAUGACGGUACCGUAAGAAUAAGCACCGGCUAACUACGUG